CUCAGAAUCAACGCUGGCGGCGUACCUCAGACAUGCAAGUCGAACGAUUAAAGCUCCCUUCGGGGAGUGCAUAGAGUGGCGCACGGGUGAGUAACACGUAAGUAAUCUACCCUCGGGUGGGGAAUAACGUUCGGAAACGAACGCUAAUACCGCAUAAUGCAGCGGCACCGCAAGGUGACAGUUGUUAAAGAUUUAUUGCCUGGGGAGGAGCUUGCGGCAGAUUAGCUUGUUGGUAAGGUAACGGCUUACCAAGGCUACGAUCUGUAUCCGGUCUAAGAGGACGGUCGGACACACUGACACUGAAUAACGGGUCAGACUCCUACGGGAGGCAGCAGUCGGGAAUUUUGGGCAAUGGGGGAAACCCUGACCCAGCAACGCCGCGUGAAGGAUGAAGUAUUUCGGUAUGUAAACUUCGAAAGAAUAGGAAGAAUUAAUGACGGUACUAUUUAUAAGGUCCGGCUAACUACGUGCCAGCAGCCGCGGUAAUACGUAGGGACCAAGCGUUGUUCGGAUUUACUGGGCGUAAAGGGCGCGUAGGCGGCGCGGUAAGUCACUUGUGAAAUCUCUGAGCUUAACUCAGAACGGCCAAGUGAUACUGCAGUGCUAGAGUGUGGAAGGGGCAAUCGGAAUUCUUGGUGUAGCGGUGAAAUGCGUAGAUAUCAAGAGGAACACCUGAGGUGAAGACGGGUUGCUGGGCCAACACUGACGCUGAGGCGCGAAAGCCAGGGGAGCAAACGGGAUUAGAUACCCCGGUAGUCCUAGCCCUA
This 767-nucleotide ribosomal RNA is filed under the name uncultured bacterium. RNAcentral describes it as "bacterial SSU rRNA". It matches the Rfam family "Bacterial small subunit ribosomal RNA", at positions 23 to 804 of the family's 1533-position model. The record is from RNAcentral.